GACAUAACCUCGAACUUUUUGUGGGAGU
This 28-nucleotide small RNA is filed under the name Bombyx mori (domestic silkworm). RNAcentral's name for it is "ovarian small RNA-15382". The record is from RNAcentral. Lineage: Eukaryota; Metazoa; Arthropoda; Insecta; Lepidoptera; Bombycidae.